This 601-nucleotide ribosomal RNA is filed under the name Dumortiera hirsuta. Its description in RNAcentral is "eukaryotic LSU rRNA". It matches the Rfam family "Eukaryotic large subunit ribosomal RNA", at positions 42 to 639 of the family's 3401-position model. Lineage: Eukaryota; Viridiplantae; Streptophyta; Marchantiopsida; Marchantiales; Dumortieraceae. The record is from RNAcentral.
AUCACUAAGCGGAGGAAAAGAAACUAACCAGGAUUCCCCUAGUAGCGGCGAGCGAACCGGGAGAAGCCCAGCUUGAAAAUCGCGUCGCUUGCGCGGCGCAGUUGUAGUCUGGAGAAGUGUCCUCUGCGGCGGACCCGGCCUAAGUCCUCUGGAAAGGGGCGUCAGAGAGGGUGAGAACCCCGUCGGGCCGGGACCCUGCCGCUCCACGAGGCACUGUCGACGAGUCGGGCUGUUUGGGAAUGCAGCCCUAAGUGGGAGGUAAAUUCCUUCCAAGGCUAAAUACGGGCGGGAGACCGAUAGCGAACAAGUACCGCGAGGGAAAGAUGAAAAGGACUUUGAAAAGAGAGUUAAAAAGUGCUUGAAAUUGCUGGGAGGGAAGCGAAUGGAGGCCUCGUGUGCGCCCCGGUCGGAUGCGGAACGGCGCGAGCUGGUCCGCCGCUCGACGCGGGGCGCUGGUCGGCGUGGGCUUCUCUGGCGGGACAAAAGUGCCCCUUCGUGGGCCGGCCGAUGCCGUCGGGGAGGCCGAGGAACCGAAGCGCGCGUCUUCGGACGGGGCCCCUCCGGGGUCACCUGCGUGCUCGGGACGCGGCGUAGUGGGCUU